RNAcentral lists this long non-coding RNA (366 nucleotides) under Aquilegia coerulea. RNAcentral describes it as "long non-coding RNA (ACOE_LNC000270)". Lineage: Eukaryota; Viridiplantae; Streptophyta; Magnoliopsida; Ranunculales; Ranunculaceae. The record is from RNAcentral.
GAUUUAGAGAUACCCCCAAAAAAAAUAUGAACUCUUUGAGAUACCCCCAGAUUUAAAAACCAUUAGAGAUACCCCCCAUUUUUUCAUUUGGAGCCGGUCAACCAAGCCAUUGACCUAUAUUUGACCAGUCUUUAUAUCACUUAGACUAAAAUACCCUUCCUUGAUUUUAAUGGUGAUCCUAGUCAGCUACGCACUCACCAAUUAUGCCAUAUCAGCAAAAACACUUCAUUUCACCAAAUCUUAAACUCAGCCACUAACCUUAUGUUAUCCCCACCCAAUAUUAGGAAGAUGUAAUCUGGACCGUCCAAUAUAAUCAAAUUGAAACCCUAGAUCAAUUAGAAACUGAAACCAUAAUUAGAAGAGGGA